GAUGAACGCUGGCGGCGUGCCUAAUACAUGCAAGUCGAGCGAACUUUUCGGAGCUUGCUCCCAACAGUUACCGGCGGACGGGUGAGUAACACGUGGGUAACCUGCCUGUAAGACUGGGAUAACUUCGGGAAACCGGAGCUAAUCCCGGAUAACAUUGAACACCACAUGGCCUGCACUUAAAAGGUGGCUUUUAUCUACCACUUACAGAUGAACCCGCGGCGCAUUAGCUAGUUGGUGAGGUAACUGCUCACCCAGGCGAGGAUGCGUAGCCGACCUGCGAGGGUGAGCUGCCACGCUGGGACGGAGACACGGCCCAGACUCCUGCGGGAGGCAGCAGUAGCGAAUCCUUAGGGAAGGAAGAAAGGGUGAAGGAGGAACGCCGCGUGAGCGCAGAAGGCCGCCGGGUCGCAAAGCUCAGUUGUUAGGGAAGAACAAGUAUCGUUCGAAUAGGGCGGUACAAUGACGGUACCUAACGAGAAAGCCACGGCUAACUACGUG
RNAcentral lists this ribosomal RNA (498 nucleotides) under uncultured bacterium. Its description in RNAcentral is "partial 16S ribosomal RNA". It matches the Rfam family "Bacterial small subunit ribosomal RNA", at positions 28 to 507 of the family's 1533-position model. The record is from RNAcentral.